Molecule: ribosomal RNA, 503 nt
Filed under: uncultured bacterium
Lineage: Bacteria
Description: partial 16S ribosomal RNA
Rfam family: Bacterial small subunit ribosomal RNA
Source: RNAcentral
AUUGAACGCUGGCGGCAGGCUUAACACAUGCAAGUCGAGCGGGGUGAUGGUGCUUGCACUAUCACUUAGCGGCGGACGGGUGAGUAAUGCUUAGGAAUCUGCCUAUUAGUGGGGGACAACAUCUCGAAAGGGAUGCUAAUACCGCAUACGUCCUACGGGAGAAAGCAGGGGAUCACUUGUGACCUUGCGCUAAUAGAUGAGCCUAAGUCGGAUUAGCUAGUUGGUGGGGUAAAGGCCUACCAAGGCGACGAUCUGUAGCGGGUCUGAGAGGAUGAUCCGCCACACUGGGACUGAGACACGGCCCAGACUCCAACGGGAGGCAGCAGUGGGGAAUAUUGGACAAUGGGGGGAAGCAUAAUCCAGCCAUGCCGCGUGUGUGAAGAGGGCCUUAUGGUUGUAAAGCACUUUAAGCGAGGAGGAGGCUCUUUUGGUUAAUACCCAAGAUGAGUGGACGUUACUCGCAGAAUAAGCACCGGCUAACUCUGUGCCAGCAGCCGCAGUAA